AUUGAACGCUGGCGGCAUGCUUUACACAUGCAAGUCGAACGGCAGCGCGGGCUUCGGCCUGGCGGCGAGUGGCGAACGGGUGAGUAAUACAUCGGAACGUGCCCAGUAGUGGGGGAUAGCUCGGCGAAAGCCGGGUUAAUACCGCAUACGACCUGAGGGUGAAAGCGGGGGAUCUUCGGACCUCGCGCUAUUGGAGCGGCCGAUGCCAGAUUAGCUAGUUGGUGGGGUAAAGGCCUACCAAGGCGACGAUCUGCAGCUGGUCUGAGAGGACGGCCAGCCACACUGGGACUGAGACACGGCCCAGACUCCUACGGGAGGCAGCAGUGGGGAAUUUUGGACAAUGGGCGAAAGCCUGAUCCAGCAAUGCCGCGUGUGUGAUGAAGGCCUUCGGGUUGUAAAGCACUUUUGGCGGGAACGAAAAGGACUGUGCCAAUACCACGGUUCGAUGACGGUACCCGCAGAAUAAGCACCGGCUAACUACGUG
This 484-nucleotide ribosomal RNA is filed under the name uncultured bacterium. Its description in RNAcentral is "partial 16S ribosomal RNA". It matches the Rfam family "Bacterial small subunit ribosomal RNA", at positions 29 to 507 of the family's 1533-position model. The record is from RNAcentral.